Molecule: ribosomal RNA, 497 nt
Filed under: uncultured bacterium
Lineage: Bacteria
Description: partial 16S ribosomal RNA
Rfam family: Bacterial small subunit ribosomal RNA
Source: RNAcentral
GAUGAACGCUGGCGGCGUGCCUAAUACAUGCAAGUCGAGCGAACGGACGAGAAGCUUGCUUCUCUGAUGUUAGCGGCGGACGGGUGAGUAACACGUGGAUAACCUACCUAUAAGACUGGGAUAACUUCGUGAAACCGGAGCUAAUACCGGAUGAUAUUUUGAACCGCAUGGUUCAAAAGUUAAAGACGGUCUUGCUGUCACUUAUAGAUGGAUCCGCGCUGCAUUAGCUAGUUGGUAAGGUAACGGCUUACCAAGGCAACGAUGCAUAGCCGACCUGAGAGGGUGAUCGGCCACACUGGAACUGAGACACGGUCCAGAAUCCUACGGGAGGCAGCAGUAGGGAAUCUUCCGCAAUGGGCGAAAGCCUGACGGAGCAACGCCGCGUGAGUGAUGAAGGUCUUCGGAUCGUAAAACUCUGUUAUUAGGGAAGAACAGAUGUGUAAGUAACUGUGCACAUCUUGACGGUACCUAAUCAGAAAGCCACGGCUAACUACGUG